CGUGCAGGCGGGUCGGCAAGUCUUGUGUGCAAUCUCCCGGCUUAACCGGGAACCUGCAUGGGAAACUACCGAUCUUGAGUGCGAGAGAGGAUGGCGGAAUUCCUGGUGUAGCGGUGAAAUGCGUAGAUAUCAGGAGGAACACCGGUGGCGAAGGCGGCCGUCUGGCUCGACACUGACGCUCAUACGCGAAGGGCCGGGGAGCAAACA
This 207-nucleotide ribosomal RNA is filed under the name uncultured bacterium. Its description in RNAcentral is "partial 16S ribosomal RNA". It matches the Rfam family "Bacterial small subunit ribosomal RNA", at positions 568 to 774 of the family's 1533-position model. The record is from RNAcentral.